GUCAAGAUGGCUGAGUGGUCUAAGGUGCCAAACUCAAGUUCUUGUUUUUGGGAGAGGGCGUGAGUUCAAAUCCCACUUUUGACA
This 84-nucleotide transfer RNA is filed under the name Ipomoea nil (Japanese morning glory). It matches the Rfam family "tRNA". Rfam says of the family: Transfer RNA (tRNA) molecules are approximately 80 nucleotides in length. Their secondary structure includes four short double-helical elements and three loops (D, anti-codon, and T loops). Lineage: Eukaryota; Viridiplantae; Streptophyta; Magnoliopsida; Solanales; Convolvulaceae. The record is from Rfam by way of RNAcentral.